RNAcentral lists this ribosomal RNA (253 nucleotides) under uncultured bacterium. Its description in RNAcentral is "partial 16S ribosomal RNA". It matches the Rfam family "Bacterial small subunit ribosomal RNA", at positions 524 to 776 of the family's 1533-position model. The record is from RNAcentral.
UACGUAGGGGGCAAGCGUUGUCCGGAAUCAUUGGGCGUAAAGAGCGUGUAGGCGGCUCGAUAAGUCUGCUGUGAAAGCCCAGGGCUCAACUCUGGGUCGGCCACUGAUACUCGCGAGCUCGAGUUUGGUAGAGGCAGAUGGAAUUCCGGGUGUAGCGGUGGAAUGCGUAGAGAUCCGGAAGAACACCGGUGGCGAAGGCGGUCUGCUGGGCCAAGACUGACGCUGAGGCGCGACAGCGUGGGGAGCAAACAGG